Molecule: long non-coding RNA, 666 nt
Organism: Macrobrachium nipponense
Lineage: Eukaryota; Metazoa; Arthropoda; Malacostraca; Decapoda; Palaemonidae
Exons: 3
Source: RefSeq, a predicted model, not a curated record
UUAAGUAAAUCGAUGACAUCCUUUUGAGAUUAAUAAUUUCGAAAUCAACGCUGUAUAUCUGAGGUAGUUUUUGUUUUAUAGGAAUUAUGACGAAAUGUCAAGUCAUUCAAAUCUGUGAUUGAGUAAUUAAGAGAAUUUCAAAACAAGUGCCUAUCUAUAUGAUGCAAAGAUGACAUUUCCUAUUAAGAAACUCGUAAUUGUUUGAAGAAAUCAGUUUUUAUCGUUUAAAUUGCUUUUAAGGAGACGAACCGGUUUUGUGUCAAGUUGGCUUUAUGGAUGUUCUGAAACGACUUCAGUUUGUACCAAAACGGCUGAGAAGGAGGAGGAGGAGGAGGAGGAACAACAACAACGACUGAGGAGGAGGAGGAGGAGGGGGAGGAGGAGGAACCACUUGGAACCUAAGUACGUCAGCUGACGUCGAGGUUAAAUGCUAUUCAACAUUCAUGACAGGAGUCGACAACUGAACUCGAUGAUGUAUUGCUUCAAGUUCUACCGCAGCUAUUUCGAUGAUCCAAGUUGUUUCAGUACUACAUCCAUGAAGACGAUUAGAUAUGAACCCCGUAACAUCGUUGAGGUGGUUCGAUCCGGCCAUGUCACCUGCAACGUAUGGGGCUGGGUGUGUGUGCAUGGUAUGGGUGAUGAGUUCCGUAUCGAGGGACGAUUUAC